RNAcentral lists this ribosomal RNA (468 nucleotides) under uncultured bacterium. RNAcentral describes it as "partial 16S ribosomal RNA". It matches the Rfam family "Bacterial small subunit ribosomal RNA", at positions 28 to 507 of the family's 1533-position model. The record is from RNAcentral.
GACGAACGCUGGCGGCGUGCUUAACACAUGCAAGUCGAACGGAAAGGCCCUGCUUUUGUGGUGUGCUCGAGUGGCGCACGGGUGAGUAACACGUGAGUAACCUGCCCUUGACUUUGGGAUAACCUCAGGAAACUGGGUCUAAUACCGGAUAGGAGCUCCUGCUGCAUGGUGGGUGUUGGAAAGUUUCGGCGGUUGGGGAUGGACUCGCGGCUUAUCAGCUUGUUGGUGGGGUAGUGGCUUACCAAGGCUUUGACGGGUAGCCGGCCUGAGAGGGUGACCGGCCACAUUGGGACUGAGAUACGGCCCAGACUCCUACGGGAGGCAGCAGUGGGGAAUAUUGCACAAUGGGCGGAAGCCUGAUGCAGCAACGCCGCGUGCGGGAUGACGGCCUUCGGGUUGUAAACCGCUUUCGCCUGUGACGAAGCGUGAGUGACGGUAAUGGGUAAAGAAGCACCGGCUAACUACGUG